GUCUGUGCUCCCGAUGCGUGUUUCGAUCAAGGCUCAUCUGAGGUUUAUCUUCAGUGCUCAUCGGUCCAGUGCAGAUUUCGGUUGCAAUGUUGUCCCUUGGUUUACUGUAGCGACAUUUGGACAAGAAAUGAGGAAAUGGUAGGCAACUCUGAUCCUGUAUAUAGGUUAUGAUUUCAGACUAUCUCCAUUAUUGGAAAUCCAUGUGUUUCAGGAAAGCAAGGAUCUGACUAAUUCCCAUGUAAUCUAUCGAUGGAGUGCUCCGAUGGCAGUUUUCUUUGAGAUUAGUGAAUUAUCAGCUCUACAGGAGAAGUCAACUUUCUGAUUGCUGAACCGGGUCUGAUUCUGAUUUAGGUAUUUAAAG
Molecule: non-coding RNA, 361 nt
Organism: Pelobates cultripes (western spadefoot toad)
Lineage: Eukaryota; Metazoa; Chordata; Amphibia; Anura; Pelobatidae
Source: the annotation of a GenBank genome assembly